This 113-nucleotide ribosomal RNA is filed under the name uncultured Spirochaetales bacterium. RNAcentral's name for it is "partial 23S ribosomal RNA". It matches the Rfam family "Bacterial large subunit ribosomal RNA", at positions 1 to 113 of the family's 2925-position model. Lineage: Bacteria; Pseudomonadati; Spirochaetota; Spirochaetia; Spirochaetales. The record is from RNAcentral.
GGUCAAGCGAGAAAGGGUCCAUGGAGGAUGCCUAGGAGCUCUCUGGCGAAGAAGGCCGUGGUAAGCUGCGAAAAGCUUGGGGGAGGAGCAAACAUCCCGAGAUCCCGAGAUAG